Molecule: transfer RNA, 76 nt
Filed under: Echinochloa crus-galli (barnyard grass)
Lineage: Eukaryota; Viridiplantae; Streptophyta; Magnoliopsida; Poales; Poaceae
Description: tRNA-Val
Rfam family: tRNA
About the family: Transfer RNA (tRNA) molecules are approximately 80 nucleotides in length. Their secondary structure includes four short double-helical elements and three loops (D, anti-codon, and T loops).
Source: RNAcentral
AAGGGCUAUAGCUCAGUUCGGUAGAGCAACUCGCUUACAUACCGAGAAGGUCUACGGUUCGAAUCCGUAUAGCCCU